RNAcentral lists this non-coding RNA (103 nucleotides) under Microbacterium saccharophilum. RNAcentral's name for it is "Glycine riboswitch aptamer". It matches the Rfam family "Glycine riboswitch aptamer". From Rfam's summary of the family: This family represents the bacterial glycine riboswitch. Glycine riboswitches usually consist of two metabolite-binding aptamers domains with similar structures in tandem. Lineage: Bacteria; Bacillati; Actinomycetota; Actinomycetes; Micrococcales; Microbacteriaceae. The record is from Rfam by way of RNAcentral. RNAcentral also lists the same sequence under 1 other name.
AUGACGUGUGCGGGAGAGCCCCGCACCGCCGCGCACGCGGGUCGGGCACCGAAGGAGCAAGCCUCCCCGCCAAUCUCUCAGGUCCGCGUACCGCCCACGUCCG